AGCAGCCGCGGUAAUUCCAGCUCCAAUAGCGUAUAUUAAAGUUGUUGCAGUUAAAAAGCUCGUAGUUGAAUUUCGGGACUAAUAUGUCGGUCGUACUUUGUACGUACUAGCAUUAUUGGUUUCUCCCUUCUGACGAACCACGAUGUCAUUAAUUUGGUGUCUUGGGAAAUCAGAACUGUUACUUUGAAAAAAUUAGAGUGUUUAAAGCAAGCUCGCGCUUGAAUACAUUAGCAUGGAAUAAUGAAAUAGGACGUUUGAUUCUAUUUUGUUGGUUUCUAGGAUCGACGUAAUGAUUAAUAGGGAUAGUUGGGGGCACUAGUAUUCAAUUGUCAGAGGUGAAAUUCUUGGAUUUAUUGAAGACUAACUACUGCGAAAGCAUUUGCCAAGGAUGUUUUCAUUAAUCAAGAACGAAAGUUAGGGGAUCGAAGACGAUCAGAUACCGUCGUAGUCUUAACCAUAAACUAUGCCGACUAGGGAUCGGAUGAUGUUAAUUUUUAAUGACUCAUUCGGCGCCUUACGG
This 520-nucleotide ribosomal RNA is filed under the name uncultured Glomus. RNAcentral's name for it is "SSU rRNA". It matches the Rfam family "Eukaryotic small subunit ribosomal RNA", at positions 569 to 1093 of the family's 1831-position model. Lineage: Eukaryota; Fungi; Glomeromycota; Glomeromycetes; Glomerales; Glomeraceae. The record is from RNAcentral.